UGGGGAAUAUUGGACAAUGGGCGCAAGCCUGAUCCAGCCAUGCCGCGUGAGUGAUGAAGGCCUUCGGGUUGUAAAGCUCUUUUGGCGGGGACGAUGAUGACGGUACCCGCAGAAUAAGCCCCGGCAAACUUCGUGCCAGCAGCCGCGGUAAGACGAAGGGGGCAAGCGUUGUUCGGAAUUACUGGGCGUAAAGCGCGCGUAGGCGGCUUUGUAAGUUAGAGGUGAAAGCCCGGAGCUCAACUCCGGAACUGCCUUUAAGACUGCAUCGCUAGAACGUCGGAGAGGUAAGUGGAAUUCCGAGUGUAGAGGUGAAAUUCGUAGAUAUUCGGAAGAACACCAGUGGCGAAGGCGACUUACUGGACGACUGUUGACGCUGAGGUGCGAAAGCGUGGGGAGCAAA
This 400-nucleotide ribosomal RNA is filed under the name uncultured bacterium. RNAcentral's name for it is "bacterial SSU rRNA". It matches the Rfam family "Bacterial small subunit ribosomal RNA", at positions 355 to 772 of the family's 1533-position model. The record is from RNAcentral.